This is a long non-coding RNA of Bos taurus (domestic cattle), 888 nucleotides long. Lineage: Eukaryota; Metazoa; Chordata; Mammalia; Artiodactyla; Bovidae. The record is from Ensembl.
GCCCGCGCCUCCAGAAUUCAGGCGGGGCGCUGGAAGUUGUGUGAGCAGGCCGAUGAGUGCUUGCUUACGUCGAGGGGAGCGCCAGCUCCUGUUUCUCGUGUACGGGGGAAGCCCGGGGAACAGCAGGGGCGUCUUGGCCCGGGCAGGGAAGCGGAAGUCAGCGCCGAAGCCGCGGCAGGAGGUCCUGCCGCCCCCGAGGCCGGUUCAGAUGUGCUCCUGCCCAAAACGCGAAAGUGAGGCUGGAGUGUGGCCUUGAGCGGCUUUCUGUAGAAGGCAGUGGCCAAGAGCGCACCUCGCUUCUGGCAAGAAAGAAACUGAGCGUUGUGAUGCCUGAAACAUCUCGUCCUCUGAGUCUUAAGAGGACCAGGCCCUGGGGAGAGGACCCAGCUGUGUGCCGUCACAUGCAGGGAGACCGGGAGGACCACCAAGACCAGCCUUCUCCACGCCUUGGCACCACCACCUCUCUUUUCAACUUCUUUCCCUUCGAAAACUAAACGGCAUUCUCUAGGCUGUGGGACUCCAUUUCCUGGCUCCCAGAAAUCCUUGGUGUGAGAACAGGCAGAGGAAUCUCCUGGGGUAUAGUUGGAAGGAAGGGAGUAAGCUCAGGGUUGGAUAACUUCCACGAGCAGAAUCUUAACCCUGCUGCACAAUGGAAUUAUCUGGGAGCUGUUAAAAAAACUGAGACCCUCAGGUCCAGGUCCAGAUUCAGUGCAUCAGACUUGCACAGAAUUUCCUUUGUUUGUUUUUUGGUUUGUUUUUCUGUUUUGUAUGACAAAGGUACUUUUGGUCACCAUUCCUGGGUGAUUCAGAGAUGCAACCAGGGCUGAGAACCACUGAUGGAAAAGCUGGGUGGCCUAGACACGAACACAGUCAAGGUCCCUGUGUGCU